GCUGCUGGAAGGAGCUGUGGCUGCGGCGGAGAUACGCAUUGCGCAGCGGAGAGUGCGCUCAGGCACCGCCGCACGGAUCCCGGCCGCUGGACCGCUGUGCUCCCGGGAAUAUGCGUUAUCAAUGGGACUAAAUAAUCGCAUGCAUCUGGAUUAUACCUUCCUACGAUGCUCUGCUGAUACAGAUCACUGGAUUUACAGAUGUCACAGAUCGAGCGAUAGCAUCAGACCAUUGAAUAUGGGACCAAAAAGAUCUGUACUGGGAAUUUUACGAUUGUGGGAAAACUGGAAGUCGAUCAGGAACAAGCUGCAUGCCUCUAUCUCCAGGAGAGUACAGCAUUUGUCAGUGCAGGACAAUUUACAGACAUUUUACAUUUUAGACAAAGUAGUUAAACACCCAAACUAGUUUUACUGCUGACUGGAGUCAGCUACUAGGCGAGUUAUUAAACUACUGUCUGCCAGA
Pseudophryne corroboree (corroboree frog) is the source of this 460-nucleotide long non-coding RNA. RefSeq lists it as uncharacterized. NCBI's taxonomy places the organism in Eukaryota, Metazoa, Chordata, Amphibia, Anura, Myobatrachidae. The record is from RefSeq and is a predicted model, not a curated record. The transcript has 2 exons.